AGAGUUUGAUCCUGGCUCAGAACGAACGCUGGCGGCGUGGCUAAGGCAUGCAAGUCGAACGGACUUAUCCAACGGGUAACUGGAGGAUAGGUCAGUGGCGAACGGGUGAGGAAUUCAUGGAUAACGUGCCCCGGACUCAGGGAUAGCGUUGUGAAAGCGACGGUAAUACCUGAUGACCCCGCAGGAUCGCAUGGUCUCGCGGGCAAAGCUCCGACGGUCCGGGAGCGGUUCAUGUCCUAUCAGCUAGUUGGUGAGGUGACGGCUCACCAAGGCGGCGACGGGUAUCGGGCGUGAGAGCGUGACCCGACACAUCGGAACUGAGACACGGUCCGGACACCUACGGGUGGCUGCAGCAACGAAUAUUCCGCAAUGGACGAAAGUCUGACGGAGCGACGCCGCGUGCAGGAAGAAGUCCCUCGGGAUGUAAACUGCUUUCAGGGGUGAGGAACAAAAUGACCAGCCCCAAAAGAGC
Molecule: ribosomal RNA, 472 nt
Filed under: uncultured Blastopirellula sp.
Lineage: Bacteria; Pseudomonadati; Planctomycetota; Planctomycetia; Pirellulales; Pirellulaceae
Description: bacterial SSU rRNA
Rfam family: Bacterial small subunit ribosomal RNA
Source: RNAcentral